This 400-nucleotide unclassified non-coding RNA is filed under the name uncultured fungus. Its description in RNAcentral is "sequence contains ITS1". Lineage: Eukaryota; Fungi. The record is from RNAcentral.
UAGGACUACGGGGUAUCUAAUCCUGUUUGCUCCCCACGCUUUCGUGCCUCAGUGUCAGUUUCAGUCCAGUAAGCCGCCUUCGCCACUGAUGUUCCUCCUAAUAUCUACGCAUUUCACCGCUACACUAGGAAUUCCGCUUACCUCUCCUGCACUCUAGUCUGACAGUUUCAAAAGCAGUCCCAGAGUUAAGCCCUGGGUUUUCACUUCUGACUUGCCAUACCACCUACGCACCCUUUACACCCAGUAAUUCCGGAUAACGCUUGCAUCCUACGUAUUACCGCGGCUGCUGGCACGUAGUUAGCCGAUGCUUAUUCCUUAGCUACCGUCACUGUCUUCCCUGCUGAUAGAGCUUUACAUACCGAAAUACUUCUUCGCUCACGCGGCGUCGCUGCAUCAGAGU